GGCGUGAUGCGAUCCGUGAGGAAUCCACCACAACCGAUACGAACGUCGUUCGCAUGUAGCGUUGAACGCUUUGUUCCGAGGGGCAGAUAGAGGACAAGGCCUCGUGCCCACAACAUGUUCCGCAUCCGAGAUUUCGAGCAUUACACCUUGGGUGGGCUACACGAGCGCAUGCACACACACACACACGAGUACCAMCCACAGCACAUGCUAUGAGUUCCAAUCCGCACCACGACACCGAUAGGCAACGCAGAGMAAAAUGAAARGGGGACAAUUUAUCCAUCGCAAUACCUCAAAGAUAGGUACGAGCACAGAAGCCCGCAAUCGGACGGG
Molecule: unclassified non-coding RNA, 330 nt
Filed under: Prostanthera eungella
Lineage: Eukaryota; Viridiplantae; Streptophyta; Magnoliopsida; Lamiales; Lamiaceae
Description: partial external transcribed spacer
Source: RNAcentral